Non-coding RNA from Malus domestica (apple), 2238 nucleotides. NCBI's taxonomy places the organism in Eukaryota, Viridiplantae, Streptophyta, Magnoliopsida, Rosales, Rosaceae. The record is from RefSeq and is a predicted model, not a curated record.
UUAAUGUGUUUUUCACAUAUUACAGUUCGCUGGUUCUCGUUCAUUAACCGAAGAUAAAUAUACAUCAAUCGUUCGUCUACGUAAGCAUGUGUAAACAACGUAUUGGCUUUAGACAAUGACUCUGUGAUAGUGUUUAUCUUGAUACAACAUUUAUACAUUUGCUCUCGUUUACAACCAUAUUUUUCACAAAAGAACGAAACACAGUGAACUGUAUAUCCAUUUCAGUAGAGAAUACUAAAACUCAAACUCAAGGGUUACUGUUUAUUAACUGUAUAUCGGCUUCUGUACAGUGAAACUUUGAAAGUGCAGUCUUGCCCUUUCGAUUCGUCCAUCAUCGGUGGAUGUUUUGGCUUUAGUUGUUCUGGAUCUUUCUUUUGGUUUCGGCUAUUCUCUCUCACAUAUCUCCAAUUCCUUUGUUUUUCGCCGUCCGUUUUGCUCCGCCUUGGCUUCUGUUUUCUUCAUCGUCUUGUCGUUGUUGAAAAUAUUGACUGUUUUCCUUAGUUGUUCUUCGAUUAGUAGUAAGGGUUGUUAAUUUCUCUGCCUUUUUGGUUUGAUUCCAAUAAUUUUUUUGGGUUUUUGAUUGGUUUGAUCUGUGUUUUCUUAGUAAGUUCUGCAUGUGUUGCCGCACAAGGUUUUUUUGAUUUCAGAAAUUUUGUGCCCAUUUUGGAUUCGCUUCGAACUUGGUUGAGAUCCAUCUAAUCCGGCGUUUCCAGGUGAGUUUUGCAUGUUUGAUGGUUUGUUUUUCAGAUCGUUUUUGUGCAUGUUUGAUGCGUUUUGUUUUUCAGUUUCGGGAUUCAUUUCUUGGAUGUUUGCCGAAGAAACGAUUGGCCUGAAAGAGAGGAAGGCAUUUCUGGGAUUAUACUUGGGAAACAAGACGAUAUUGACAGGGUUGAUAGUUCUGACUCUGCUGACAAUGAUGUUGGGGAUAAGGAGUUGGCAAAACCCCUUGAACCAUCUCACGUGUACCUCUCUAAUGCUGAGGUUCAGAUCAAUUCCGGAAGGAUUCCAAUCUGGCAAAAGUCUAAGGUAGAUCCUUUCAUUUAUGUCUUAGAUAUAUUUCUAUACAAUGAGUCCGUCUGCUGCUGGUGAGUGAGCUAAAUUUUGGUAAAGAUGUAACCGGCAAAGAGAUGGAAAUAGAGACGGUUCCUGUUCACGAGGUUGAAAUGAGGCAGAAAGAUUUGCUACCUGUUGUUCAUCCGUUUCAUAGGUUUCAGUCUGACUGGAAUGGCAGGUUUCUUAUUGGAGCAGGAUGCUUGAGUUCAUCUUCUGAUUCUCACGAAGAUAAAGAAAAGUUUCAGGAAAAAUCUUGGUAGUUCUGGUGAGAAUUUUACACCUAUAGGCUUCAGCUAUAAACCCAAUGCUGGUAAGAAUUCUGGUAUUUCUGAUGUAAUAUUAUUAUUAUUAUUGUUUUACGAGUACAAGAGGAUUUUCUAAUACAACCGUUUCAAUUUCGUUUAUGUGAUUUUGGAUUUGCAAAUUUGUUUUCUGUUCAAAUUUCCUUUUGUGAUUUUGGAGGGUUUUGUUUUUAAAUUGAUCCUCUUCUGAGCUCAGGAUGGUGAUCCUUUUGACCAGUCUAUCUAGGCCGUUCAAAUUUAAUUUAACAACUACAAUUAUUAUAACUUUUAAAAAAACUUACCUAUUUGGAACCGUUAAAUUAAAAUUGAACGAUUCAGAUAAGUUGGUGAAGAUCUAGAGAGGAUCCUCUUCCCUCUCACUCAUCUCCCGGCUCUCUCUCUCUCGCUUUUCUGCUAGAUGUCAAUGUUUUCGAAAGUGGCCCAAAGACUUUUCUUCUAGAUGUCAAUGUUUUCAAAAGUGGCCGAAAGCAGAGUGUGACAGAAAGCACAGCCGUGACAGCCUCCUUCCUAGCCGAGGGCUGUGUGUGUGAGCACACAAAAGUCUUGAAGUUGUAUGAACUUGUCAAAAGUUGGAAGACUUUUGUUCACCUUUCUUUUUUAUUUGUUUUUGCAUGUAUUAGUCUUUUGCGGUUUACAGUGCAGGCAUCCUUUUUUUUUUUGGUAAACUGGAAUUCAUAAUCAGGUAGAGAUGCCAAAACAUACACUGAAAGCCCAAAACGAGGCAAACAACCAAAAAACAAUGCCGGAAGUGCAAGGGAAAGAAACUUCGACACUACCAGGAAGCAGUAGUGUCACCUCUUGCCUAUUCAAUUUAUUUGAUUCAUAAACAUUAGUGUACAUUUAUAUUAUUGGACUAUCUGUCAUAAGAAAAUUGUUGUCUGGA